UACGUAGGGUGCGAGCGUUGUCCGGAAUUAUUGGGCGUAAAGAGCUCGUAGGCGGUCUGUCGCGUCGGUCGUGAAAACUUGGGGCUUAACCCUGAGCUUGCGGUCGAUACGGGCAUGACUGGAGUUCGGCAGGGGAGACUGGAAUUCCUGGUGUAGCGGUGAAAUGCGCAGAUAUCAGGAGGAACACCGGUGGCGAAGGCGGCUCUCUGGACAGAUACUGACACUGAGGCGCGAAAGCGUGGGAAGCAAACAGG
This 254-nucleotide ribosomal RNA is filed under the name uncultured bacterium. Its description in RNAcentral is "partial 16S ribosomal RNA". It matches the Rfam family "Bacterial small subunit ribosomal RNA", at positions 524 to 776 of the family's 1533-position model. The record is from RNAcentral.